RNAcentral lists this long non-coding RNA (894 nucleotides) under Salmo salar (Atlantic salmon). RNAcentral's name for it is "lncRNA (ENSSSAG00000092610.1)". Lineage: Eukaryota; Metazoa; Chordata; Actinopteri; Salmoniformes; Salmonidae. The record is from RNAcentral.
GCCAAUCAGGACCGAUGCUCACAGUGACAACACUCACGCUGAGGAUAUUGUGGGUUAGAAGAGGAGCAUGGGUAAAAUAGAGGAGAGCAGGAGAAGUAAGAGAUGAGAUGAGAGGAGAGGGGAGAGGAGGAGGAGGAGGAGGAAGAGGAGAGGAGGAGGAGGAGGAGGAGGAGAGGAAUGAGAGGAGUACAAGGAAGCGGAAAACGGACGCACGUCACGAGCUGAUGGUGACAAACCGGUGCAAUCUCACAUUAACACCUCAACAAUCAAAGAUCUUUGAGUUGAUCAAAUUAUUGUGCACUCUAGCCUACAGUUUGUUUAGAGGAUUUACAGUUUGUUUAGAGGUUUACAGUCUGUUUAGAGGUUUACAGUUUAUUUAGAGGUUUACAGUUUGUUUAGAGGUUUACAGUUUGUUUAGAGGAUUACAGUUUGUUUAGAGGAUUUACAGUUUGUUUAGAGGAUAACAGUUUUAGAGGAUUUACAGUUUGUUUAGAGGAUUACAGUUUGUUUAGAGGAUUACAGUUUGUUUAGAGGAUUUACAGUUUGUUUAGAGGUUUACAGUUUGAUUACAGUUUGUUUAGAGGAUUUACAGUUUGUUUAGAGGAUUUACAGUUUGUUUAGAGGUUUACAGUCUGUUUAGAGGUUUACAGUUUGUUUAGAGGAUUUACAGUUUGUUUACAGUUUGUUUAGAGGUUUACAGUCUGUUUAGAGGGUUUACAGUUUGUUUACAGUUUGUUUCGAGGUUUACAGUCUGUUUAGAGGGUUUACAGUUUGUUUAGAGGGUUACAGUUUGUUUAGAGGUUUACAGUUUGACAGCGCCACUUUUUCUACAGACAAACAUUAGUCACAGGAUUGCAAAGGGAAGGUCAGAUGCAGAUAAGGGGUCUAUGAGAG